Molecule: non-coding RNA, 185 nt
Organism: Astrephomene gubernaculifera
Lineage: Eukaryota; Viridiplantae; Chlorophyta; Chlorophyceae; Chlamydomonadales; Astrephomenaceae
Source: the annotation of a GenBank genome assembly
ACGUCUAUUGGACCCGAAACCGAUCGAGCUAGCCGUAGGCAAGUUUGGAAUUUACCAAGACUGAACCCGUGUCUGUCGCAAGAGACUGGGAUGACCUCCGGCUAGGGGUGAAAGGCCAAUCAAGUUCGGUACAUAGCUGGUUUUCUGCGAAAUCUAUUCAGGUAAAGAGUGUGUGUUAAGACCAU